CUCAGUGCGGGCUGAUGGCAUCUCACCAAAAUGCGGUGCAAUAAAAGCAAAUCCUUGAAGAGUGGAAACCUUGCAGCCAGGUUCAUGGAAGGGCUCAAGAAUAUUGCUGUGCUACGGUGCUUCUGCAGGCAGGUUCACCAUCUGUGUAACUGUGGCUACCACCUUCCAUCUUGAACUCAGACACAGACCUCUCCUCCGAGCUCCAGAUCCAUAUAUCCAAUCUCCUUCUCAAUAGUCACUUGCAAGUCUCAGCCAUUUCAAAGUCAACCCAAAGUGGUAAUCUUCAAAUCUUUCCCAUUUCAACAAGUGACACCACCAUCCACUAAUUGUAAAAGUCAGAAACCUGGAUGCCAUCUUUGCUCCACUGUGAGAGGCUGCUCACACCACCCCCUACAUGCCCUGAGGAGUCUCCAGGGGCACCCACAGCCUCCUCUGGCUUUCUCUGGGUGACCCAGGGAGGGCUAGGCCCUGUGAGCCACACCGGGGCAGCAGCACUCACCAGCUCACAAGUGCUUCCCUCUUCUGCCUUUGCUGACAACAGUCCCCCAGGCCUUCCAUUCUCCUUCCGAUGAGGCUGAUGUAUUCUGUUGCAGUUGGAUGCACCUACAAAAAUCCUCUUCAAAAUCCCAUCACUUCACCACCAAGGAAUUACUAAAAUACCAUGAAGGAGGUGCUCAAAGGCGAUAUGGGGCAGAGGAAGGAAUAAGU
Molecule: long non-coding RNA, 708 nt
Organism: Homo sapiens (human)
Lineage: Eukaryota; Metazoa; Chordata; Mammalia; Primates; Hominidae
Exons: 4
Source: RefSeq, a predicted model, not a curated record